AUUAAGAGUUUGAUCCUGGCUCAGGACGAACGCUGGCGGCACGCUUAACACAUGCAAGUCGAACGAGAGAAGAGGAGCUUGCUUUUCUGAUCUAGUGGCGGACGGGUGAGUAACACGUGAGCAAUCUGCCUUUCAGAGGGGGAUACCGAUUGGAAACGAUCGUUAAUACCGCAUAACAUAAUUGAACCGCAUGAUUUGAUUAUCAAAGAUUUAUCGCUGAAAGAUGAGCUCGCGUCUGAUUAGCUAGUUGGUAAGGUAACGGCUUACCAAGGCGACGAUCAGUAGCCGGACUGAGAGGUUGAUCGGCCACAUUGGGACUGAGACACGGCCCAGACUCCUACGGGAGGCAGCAGUGGGGAAUAUUGCACAAUGGAGGAAACUCUGAUGCAGCGAUGCCGCGUGAGGGAAGAAGGUUUUAGGAUUGUAAACCUCUGUCUUCAGGGACGAAAAAAGACGGUACCUGAGGAGGAAGCUCCGGCUAACUACGUGCCAGCAGCCGCGGUAAUACGUAGGGAGCGAGCGUUGUCCGGAAUUACUGGGUGUAAAGGGAGCGUAGGCGGGAUCGCAAGUCAGAUGUGAAAACUAUGGGCUUAACCCAUAAACUGCAUUUGAAACUGUGGUUCUUGAGUGAAGUAGAGGUAAGCGGAAUUCCUAGUGUAGCGGUGAAAUGCGUAGAUAUUAGGAGGAACAUCAGUGGCGAAGGCGGCUUACUGGGCUUUAACUGACGCUGAGGCUCGAAAGCGUGGGGAGCAAACAGGAUUAGAUACCCUGGUAGUCCACGCCGUAAACGAUGAUUACUAGGUGUGGGGGGACUGACCCCUUCCGUGCCGCAGCAAACGCAAUAAGUAAUCCACCUGGGGAGUACGACCGCAAGGUUGAAACUCAAAGGAAUUGACGGGGGCCCGCACAAGCAGUGGAGUAUGUGGAUUAAUUCGAAGCAACGCGAAGAACCUUACCAGGUCUUGACAUCGUAUGCAUAGCUCAGAGAUGAGUGAAAUCUCUUCGGAGACAUAUAGACAGGUGGUGCAUGGUUGUCGUCAGCUCGUGUCGUGAGAUGUUGGGUUAAGUCCCGCAACGAGCGCAACCCUUACUGUUAGUUGCUACGCAAGAGCACUCUAGCAGGACUGCCGUUGACAAAACGGAGGAAGGUGGGGAUGACGUCAAAUCAUCAUGCCCCUUAUGACCUGGGCCUCACACGUACUACAAUGGCUGUCAACAGAGGGAAGCAAAGCCGCGAGGUGGAGCGAACCCCUAAAAGCAGUCUUAGUUCGGAUUGUAGGCUGCAACCCGCCUACAUGAAGUCGGAAUUGCUAGUAAUCGCAGAUCAGCAUGCUGCGGUGAAUACGUUCCCGGGCCUUGUACACACCGCCCGUCACGCCAUGGGAGUCGGUAACACCCGAAGCCUGUAGUCUAACCGCAAGGAGGACGCAGUCGAAGGUGGGAUUGAUGACUGGGGUGAAGUCGUAACAAGGUAGCCGUAUCGGAAGGUGCGGCUGGAUCACCUCCUU
Molecule: ribosomal RNA, 1508 nt
Filed under: uncultured Ruminococcus sp.
Lineage: Bacteria; Bacillati; Bacillota; Clostridia; Eubacteriales; Oscillospiraceae
Description: Bacterial small subunit ribosomal RNA
Rfam family: Bacterial small subunit ribosomal RNA
Source: RNAcentral